CUCAGGUUCGGACUCAGAACAACAACAAUGCAGCUGUCAAUUCGGACUCAAAACCGAUUCCAACUCGAACUCAACACCAUGUGGGAUUCGGUCUCAAACAAACUUCAACACAAGGAUGCAUUCAUAUUCAGCCAAUAGAAGGUUUAUAUGGUAGCACACUGCUAUGACUAAAACGUGACAAGAACUCGAAACUCUAAAGGACUAAAACUAAGACCAGCAACUCGACACAACCGAUGCAACCGAAAAUUCAACAAGCCCUAACUAAGCAGUGCUAGCAAAGGCUCAAAGGGUUUAUAGGAUUAUGGG
RNAcentral lists this long non-coding RNA (306 nucleotides) under Setaria viridis. RNAcentral describes it as "long non-coding RNA (SVIR_LNC005585)". The record is from RNAcentral. Lineage: Eukaryota; Viridiplantae; Streptophyta; Magnoliopsida; Poales; Poaceae.